RNAcentral lists this ribosomal RNA (2514 nucleotides) under Escherichia coli. RNAcentral describes it as "bacterial LSU rRNA". It matches the Rfam family "Bacterial large subunit ribosomal RNA", at positions 324 to 2826 of the family's 2925-position model. Lineage: Bacteria; Pseudomonadati; Pseudomonadota; Gammaproteobacteria; Enterobacterales; Enterobacteriaceae. The record is from RNAcentral.
GUGUGUUAGUGGAAGCGUCUGGAAAGGCGCGCGAUACAGGGUGACAGCCCCGUACACAAAAAUGCACAUGCUGUGAGCUCGAUGAGUAGGGCGGGACACGUGGUAUCCUGUCUGAAUAUGGGGGGACCAUCCUCCAAGGCUAAAUACUCCUGACUGACCGAUAGUGAACCAGUACCGUGAGGGAAAGGCGAAAAGAACCCCGGCGAGGGGAGUGAAAAAGAACCUGAAACCGUGUACGUACAAGCAGUGGGAGCACGCUUAGGCGUGUGACUGCGUACCUUUUGUAUAAUGGGUCAGCGACUUAUAUUCUGUAGCAAGGUUAACCGAAUAGGGGAGCCGAAGGGAAACCGAGUCUUAACUGGGCGUUAAGUUGCAGGGUAUAGACCCGAAACCCGGUGAUCUAGCCAUGGGCAGGUUGAAGGUUGGGUAACACUAACUGGAGGACCGAACCGACUAAUGUUGAAAAAUUAGCGGAUGACUUGUGGCUGGGGGUGAAAGGCCAAUCAAACCGGGAGAUAGCUGGUUCUCCCCGAAAGCUAUUUAGGUAGCGCCUCGUGAAUUCAUCUCCGGGGGUAGAGCACUGUUUCGGCAAGGGGGUCAUCCCGACUUACCAACCCGAUGCAAACUGCGAAUACCGGAGAAUGUUAUCACGGGAGACACACGGCGGGUGCUAACGUCCGUCGUGAAGAGGGAAACAACCCAGACCGCCAGCUAAGGUCCCAAAGUCAUGGUUAAGUGGGAAACGAUGUGGGAAGGCCCAGACAGCCAGGAUGUUGGCUUAGAAGCAGCCAUCAUUUAAAGAAAGCGUAAUAGCUCACUGGUCGAGUCGGCCUGCGCGGAAGAUGUAACGGGGCUAAACCAUGCACCGAAGCUGCGGCAGCGACGCUGAUGCGUUGUUGGGUAGGGGAGCGUUCUGUAAGCCUGCGAAGGUGUGCUGUGAGGCAUGCUGGAGGUAUCAGAAGUGCGAAUGCUGACAUAAGUAACGAUAAAGCGGGUGAAAAGCCCGCUCGCCGGAAGACCAAGGGUUCCUGUCCAACGUUAAUCGGGGCAGGGUGAGUCGACCCCUAAGGCGAGGCCGAAAGGCGUAGUCGAUGGGAAACAGGUUAAUAUUCCUGUACUUGGUGUUACUGCGAAGGGGGGACGGAGAAGGCUAUGUUGGCCGGGCGACGGUUGUCCCGGUUUAAGCGUGUAGGCUGGUUUUCCAGGCAAAUCCGGAAAAUCAAGGCUGAGGCGUGAUGACGAGGCACUACGGUGCUGAAGCAACAAAUGCCCUGCUUCCAGGAAAAGCCUCUAAGCAUCAGGUAACAUCAAAUCGUACCCCAAACCGACACAGGUGGUCAGGUAGAGAAUACCAAGGCGCUUGAGAGAACUCGGGUGAAGGAACUAGGCAAAAUGGUGCCGUAACUUCGGGAGAAGGCACGCUGAUAUGUAGGUGAAGUCCCUCGCGGAUGGAGCUGAAAUCAGUCGAAGAUACCAGCUGGCUGCAACUGUUUAUUAAAAACACAGCACUGUGCAAACACGAAAGUGGACGUAUACGGUGUGACGCCUGCCCGGUGCCGGAAGGUUAAUUGAUGGGGUCAGCGCAAGCGAAGCUCUUGAUCGAAGCCCCGGUAAACGGCGGCCGUAACUAUAACGGUCCUAAGGUAGCGAAAUUCCUUGUCGGGUAAGUUCCGACCUGCACGAAUGGCGUAAUGAUGGCCAGGCUGUCUCCACCCGAGACUCAGUGAAAUUGAACUCGCUGUGAAGAUGCAGUGUACCCGCGGCAAGACGGAAAGACCCCGUGAACCUUUACUAUAGCUUGACACUGAACAUUGAGCCUUGAUGUGUAGGAUAGGUGGGAGGCUUUGAAGUGUGGACGCCAGUCUGCAUGGAGCCGACCUUGAAAUACCACCCUUUAAUGUUUGAUGUUCUAACGUUGACCCGUGAUCCGGGUUGCGGACAGUGUCUGGUGGGUAGUUUGACUGGGGCGGUCUCCUCCUAAAGAGUAACGGAGGAGCACGAAGGUUGGCUAAUCCUGGUCGGACAUCAGGAGGUUAGUGCAAUGGCAUAAGCCAGCUUGACUGCGAGCGUGACGGCGCGAGCAGGUGCGAAAGCAGGUCAUAGUGAUCCGGUGGUUCUGAAUGGAAGGGCCAUCGCUCAACGGAUAAAAGGUACUCCGGGGAUAACAGGCUGAUACCGCCCAAGAGUUCAUAUCGACGGCGGUGUUUGGCACCUCGAUGUCGGCUCAUCACAUCCUGGGGCUGAAGUAGGUCCCAAGGGUAUGGCUGUUCGCCAUUUAAAGUGGUACGCGAGCUGGGUUUAGAACGUCGUGAGACAGUUCGGUCCCUAUCUGCCGUGGGCGCUGGAGAACUGAGGGGGGCUGCUCCUAGUACGAGAGGACCGGAGUGGACGCAUCACUGGUGUUCGGGUUGUCAUGCCAAUGGCACUGCCCGGUAGCUAAAUGCGGAAGAGAUAAGUGCUGAAAGCAUCUAAGCACGAAACUUGCCCCGAGAUGAGUUCUCCCUGACUCCUUGA